This 505-nucleotide ribosomal RNA is filed under the name Pseudomonas sp. CI-2. RNAcentral describes it as "bacterial SSU rRNA". It matches the Rfam family "Bacterial small subunit ribosomal RNA", at positions 33 to 522 of the family's 1533-position model. The record is from RNAcentral. Lineage: Bacteria; Pseudomonadati; Pseudomonadota; Gammaproteobacteria; Pseudomonadales; Pseudomonadaceae.
AUCGCAUGACGCUGGCGGCAGGCCUACACAUGCAAGCCUCGAGCGGAUGAGAGGAGCUUGCUCCUUGACUCUUAGCGGCGGACGGGUGAGUAAUGCCUAGGAAUCUGCCUGGUAGUGGGGGAUAACGUUCCGAAAGGAACGCUAAUACCGCAUACGUCCUACGGGAGAAAGCAGGGGACCUUCGGGCCUUGCGCUAUCAGAUGAGCCUAGGUCGGAUUAGCUAGUUGGUGAGGUAAUGGCUCACCAAGGCGACGAUCCGUAACUGGUCUGAGAGGAUGAUCAGUCACACUGGAACUGAGACACGGUCCAGACUCCUACGGGAGGCAGCAGUGGGGAAUAUUGGACAAUGGGCGAAAGCCUGAUCCAGCCAUGCCGCGUGUGUGAAGAAGGUCUUCGGAUUGUAAAGCACUUUAAGUUGGGAGGAAGGGUUGUACGUUAAUACCGUGCAAUUUUGACGUUACCGACAGAAUAAGCACCGGCUAACUUCGUGCCAGCCGCCGCGGUA